AAGUGAAGAUUGACAUCCAUUAAGGCCAAUGGUAGCUCAAUCUUCUGUUCUCUGACUCCCAAGCUUCCCAUUCUCUUAGGAGGCUGCAUUUGUGGCGCUAAAAAAAGGGAUGGGCGUGGGAGAUUCCAGGACUUGUGCUCGCUGAAGAUACAACUGUUAGUCCAAGGGGUGACCCUGGAGAUCAUUACCAAAAUUUAAAAAUUUCACCACUGGGCACACAUGUUACCCUUCUCGUGAUGGCAUGGCAAAGCUUGAUUUGCAAGAGUUUCUUUUGGAUUGUCCCCAAUGAUUCCCUUUAAAAAUAGGAGCUCCUUCAAGCUCCUGUAUCAGCAGUGCUUGCACCUCAUAGGUGAUGAUCAUGAGGGGGACAAGGAGCCUCUAGACUUAAGAGACAAGUUGCCAGCAUUCUCCAGAUGGAGUGUUUCCCUCCGCAGCACCCCCUGCUGGUCAGUUUGACAAGCAGGUGAACAGAAGUUCUCAAAUACACAAUAGUAGAUUCUAUCAAUCAAGUUUCAUAAAGAGUUCUGAUUCCCAGAGAUAGCAGAUUCUGUCAACCACAUUUCAUAAAGAGUUCUGAUUCUAAGAGAGCCAUACACCUGAAGGAGGGAUGGAAAGACUAGGAGAGCCUGGGAUCCUCAGAGAUGGAGAUCUGGAUGUGAAGAGAAAGAGAAAAACAAAAGUCAACAGACAGUACUGUGACCAAGUCAGUGAUGGUGAGAUCAGCAGCAUCUCUAGGACCCUUCUGAUUGACAUGAAGUCACCAUCAAGUAGGCAGAACUCACAGGACUUAUGGAGCAAGGAUGACUGACACAAACACAAAAAUCAUUCUGCCUGUUGAAUGAAUCAUAAAAUACUGUCUUUGAUCCAGGAGGCUUGUGUCAUCUGCCAGCAUUUAUGAAACUGUGCUCCAAGUAGGGUAAGCUUUUAGAUACUUCAGAGUUCCUGGCAGUCUUUUCUGGAUGGAGAAUGUCUUUAGUCUUUUCUCAAUGGAAAAACAGAAUGCUCCUUUUAAAACAAAAGCCAGAUUUUGUUAUUCCUUUGUGCAACCCCUGCUACUGCAGGGGUAACACCCAGUCUCAUUCAGAGAGACACAAAUUCCUUGUAACAGCCCCUCUAAGUUCUCCAUGACUUAGACCCCAGUCACCUCCCUGACAUCCCUGAGUGGGAGGCACCUGGCGGUUUCGCGCUUUCCCCGCGUUUUGUUUGCGUCAGAGCAGCGCGCUGGCGGGAGCUGCAGGGCAAAUAUCCCGCCCCGGUGCUUUGGUGUGUGGCACUUGCUGCCAUUCUGCCGCUGUGGGGUGAGCGGCGGUGGCGGGACUAGCACCCAGGCGGGAUCCGUUGGCAGCAGCAGAGAGAGCUCAAUCCUGAUGAUGCAGAAGCCCAGACUCCAGCCUACUGCAAGUUCCAGAGCAGGCUGUACCCACGCCUGCGUGAGGGCUAGAGGGACUUGGCCUGCUCCGCAAAUGAUCCAACUUCCCGGACGGGCUGGUGAACACAGACAAUGCCAGCCUGGAUAAGGAAGCGGCCAGCACUGCUUAGGCAUUGUUCUCAGGACGCGCAUUACUGAGUGUGGAACUUUACCCUCCUGAUGAAGACGCCAGAGUUGGGUAUCCCCAAAGUGAUGAUCAAAGAAGUGCUUUGCAUGGGGCUUGAGAAAACAUCUUACUGUUUAAGAACAGAACGUCUUACUAUCUAAGAACCUGAAUAGAAGGAGAUGCUUUCAGUAUUGGGUGUUUGAAAAGUUGGUCAAAGAAGGGGAGACGAUGGUUGAUUAAGGGGGGGAUGGUGACAAUUAUUUUGUAACUCAUAGAAGGACAGAUGUUGAUGUAAAAGUUGAUGGUUUUGGUGGAAUAAUCAAGAGCAUGUUUCUGAAAUUAAUGUAAAAUAUAGAGAGACCCCUGAAAUCACUGCUUAAAUUACACGGGUGUUGUGGUGCUUGGAAAGAGAAAACUUUGGAAGUAUAAUUGUAAAAAUAAUAUUAUACAGAAAAACAGAAGAGAAAACUUAAGGACAGCUUUCUCAAAUCGCUGUUAUUCUUGAAUCAUCUGAAAGCAGUAUAAGUGACUGGCACCAAUAUACAUCGGAGAGUAAAUCAUUGCACAAGGAAACUUGAUUUUCUUUUCAUUAUAGAAUCUGGAGAAAAAAAGCUAUGAAGAGCAAGAGGUGGUAGAGAAUGGUGUUGUUGAAAUUGCCUGACAUCACUGGAGAUAAUUUGCCCUGGAAAGAAGCACUCCUUAGGGAGGAGCAUCUGCACAUUCCAUUAGCAUAAAGCACCUGGUCAGCCAUAUGAAGAAGUCUGGAUUUUGUUUUAAAUGUGAAAUUUAUUUUAAAUGGAGGAUUUGAAACAAGGGAGUAAUAUAACCUGACAUAUUUUAAAAAAUCACUCUGGCAGCUGCGUGGGGGACAAACUCUGGGAGGACAAGAGGAGAUGUGGAAGGGAGAAGGCGGCUAAGAGUCUGUCCCAGGAUUGCAAAGAUUUCGGAGCCCGGCCUCAGGUGGUAAUGGUGGAGGUGUUAGAAAUGGCUGGAUUCCACAUAUAUUUUGAAAGGCCAGCACAUGGAAUUUGCUUAUGGAUGUUCCAUAAAUAAGAGAAAAAGAGGGCUCAGUGAUGAUUCCUGGGCUUUUGACUUAAGCAACUAGAAGGAUAAAGUCUCCAUUAACUGAUAUGGGGAAGACUGAGGAAGGAGACGCUGUGUAUGCCAGGAUUGGGCUGUGUGUGUGUGUGUAUGUGUGUGUGUAUCAGUAAUUCUACUUUUGACCUGUUGACUUUGAGAUGCUAAUCCAUGCCAGUUAAAAAAUAAGGAGGGAAGUGGACAUUCAACACGUGAGGGUGAAUGCCCACGGAGCCUUAAGAAGGGGCCAGAGGGUGAAUCUGGGAGAGAAGAACAUAGAUAAAAAUAAAAGACACAUGGAGGGAGAAAGAGAGGGAAGCUAGGACUUAUGAUGGUAACAAUGUUGUUCAUUAACUGAGAAGUCUUUUUUUUUUUUUUUUUUGAGACAGGGUCUUGCUCUAUUGCCCAGGCUGGAGUGCAGUGGCAUGAUCUCAGUUCACUGCAACCUCCACCUCCUGGGUUCAAGCGAUUCUCAUGCCUCAGCCUCCUGAGCAGCUGGUAUUACAGGUGCUUGCCACCAUGCCUGGCUAAUUUUUGUGUUUUUGGUAGGGAUGGGAUUUCACCAUGUUGGCCAGGCUAGGGUCAAACUCCUGACUUCAGGUGCUCUGCCCGCCUCAGCCUCCCAAAGUGCUGGGAUUACAGAUGUGAGCCACCAUGCCAGGCCUGAGAAAUUGCCAAGACCAGCUCAGUCGUGGAUACCCUAACCCAGUCGCACUAGAGGAAUUAAAGACACACACACAGAAAUACAGUGUGUGGAGUGGGAAUCAGGGGUCUCACAGCCUUCAGAGCUGAGAGCCUCAAACAGAGACUUACCCAUAUAUUUAUUGACAGCAAGCCAGUGAUAAACAUUGUUUCUAUAGAUUAUAGAUUAUAGAUUAACUAAAAGUAUUCCUUGCAGAAAACAAAGGAAUGUGCCAAAACAGAGGGAUGGGCUCUGGCUAGUUAUCUGCAGUAGGAACAUUUCCUUAAGGCACAGAUGGCUUAUGCUAUUGCUUGUGGCUUAGGAACGCCUUUAAGCAGUUUUCCUCCCUGGGUGGGCCAGGUGUUCCUUGCCCUCAUUCCAGUAAACCCACAACCCUCAGCGUGGACUUCAUGGCCAUCACGAACAUGUCACGGUGCUGCAGAGAUUUUGUUUAUGGCCAGUUUUGGGGCCAGAUUAUGGCCAGAUUUGGGGGCCUGUCCCUAAAAAGAAAUGUAAUUAAAGUACAGAGAAAAUUAAAAGGGAGAAGAAAGUUCGUGGAGAGAUAUCAGAGCAAAUGAUAACUACAAAAGUCUGCCUUGUUUCCCAGACCCCUUGUCUCUUAGGUGCCCUAUAUUUUACCUCCCAGUGAACCAGUCUUGCCCCUUUGUAAUGGCACUCCAAGCAGCACUGCCACACACCCAAUUCCAGAACUUCCCUGCUCCUUGAGCCUAGGAAUAGUCAUGCUUCUAAUUCCUCUUUACUUGCUCAUCACUGGAGUAGCAACUGAACCACACGAUUAGAAUAAGUAACAUGAUGUCAUUUUUGGUAGCAAUCUUCCAUUUCUUCCUUAUGUAUAAAAUUGAACCUCACAGAGAAACUAACUGCCUAGAGCUAUGGGUCCAGAGUAGAGCUCUAGCUUUGCGUUUCUCUUUGCAGCUGUGCUCUGAGAGAUUUGAUGCAAUCCCACUGCAAUUUGACAUCAGCGACAGCGUAGGGGUGCUCAGGGAAUCUUUUGAGCCACCAACGAAGCCUCACUUCCAGCUAAUACUUAUAUGGGGCUGUGGAAGUUGUCUCACAUUCCUGGGGACAGUGUUUGCCCUGAAAAGGAACGUUCACUUGCCACAAAGCAUCUUGUUGGCUGGAUUUGAUUAUAAUGUGACAAGAAUUCUUUUGGCCACAUAACUGGUGGUUGGGUCAUUUUGUGUUUUUCAAACCAAUAAGAAGAAAAGGCCUCUUACAUGGUCAGGAGAGGUGGGAAUGGAUGAAGCACUAAGGUCAGGUCUGGUGAAGUUAGGGAAUAAGGCCAGCAUUUAUGGAAAGUGAUUUCCCCAUGAACUCCUAAAAGAUGCUCCUGAACCCUAACAGUAGGCUGAUGUCUGUAUUUAGAGUUGCAAACAACAUGUUCUGGGAAUACAGAGGAAGGCACCACUGCCUCUAACUUGCGAGUAUAUCACAGAGAAAGAUUUAUAUUUGGGCUUGAUGGAUGAGAGAUGAGUAGGAGUUUGAUAGAAGAGAAGAAGGGAACCAUCUGGAUGUACAAUGGAAGAAGUGGCAGGAAGGGCUAAGGAGAAUUGGCUUCUGGGGAUGGGUUAGAGAUAAGGGCCUGGGCACCACAUUAUGGAGCUUGCAAUGGGGUAUGUAAAAGCUUAUAUGGGAUGCUCGUUUUCUCUCCUCCCAUGGGUUCAUAGAGGGCUCACCUCACUCACUCUUGCUAACAAGCUGCCCUCAUUUUAGAGAGAGCUGGAGUGGGGUCUCUAACCCUCCAGCAACAGCUUAGGAGCCAGACUUGAAGCCCUGACAGCCAACACUUUCCAUAUAGACCCUGUUGUCCAUCCUAUCUUAGGAAGACAAUGCACUCAAGAGGAAGGUAACAUCUACCUUCGGACUCCAGAGGCUCCAAGGAGCCUCUCUCUCUCUUCAAGACAGGCUUCACCUCCACCUUCAUACAGUGGUACUGGGAGAUGAACAGGGGUAGGGCGAUCAAGAUUUAGUUCAACCUGUAGUUCCAGUCGGGUGGUGCUUGGUAGUUGACUCAUUUUGGUCCCAUUUGAUAUUUGCAGCCACCUGCUGGGAUAGGUGUAACUGUUGCUCCUAUUUCACAGAUUAGGACAGGAUAGUUUGCUAGAGGUCAGAGGACGAGUUGCGGGAGGGAAUGGUUGUCAGUUAGGUUUUUAACCUUAGAGCCUCAUGUUUUCUUAGGAUCUUGCAGGGAGACCUUGGGCAAAUUCCUUUUCCUCUUGGGGGGUCUUCAUUACCUUUUUGUAAGUUAAAGAGUUCUGCCAGUUUGUGAUUCUCUGUACUUUAAUGUUCAAACUUAUCACUUGGAUAGGUUUUUUAAAAUGGGGAUUCUGGGUACCCCCAAUAUAUUUAAUUUCUCUGGGGUGAGGCCGAGAUUCAUCUUCGCUGAGCUACAUCUGUAGAGAUUCUGUUUUGAUACCAUUGGUUGGACUGUGGCUCGGUAAUUUGCAUUUCUCCAAAGUGAGUCCAGUCAGCUGGUCAACCGCCCCGCCUGUCUCUCUGUGACCCCUUCCGGGCGUCCGCUCUGCUUCUGUACUUGCAUCCUGUGGGAAUGAGAUUGGCGCAAGCAGCCCUCUUUUAGUACCGCCGGGGGCACGCUAGCCAAGCCUUUAAAAACCACGCCGAGCCCUCGGUUUGCAGGUAUUCAGGGCAAGCUAAGGCGCGUUUCCGCGUUUGGUAUGUUCCCGAGUGCGGCCAGCAGAUGACGAGAGAGAACUAGCCAGCAGAAUAGGAAGGGGCAAGGAGGCCAGGAAGAAAAGUGGCGGGUGAAGAUUGACAUUCACUAAAACCAAUGGUAGCUUCCGUUCUCCGACUCCCAAGCUUACCUUAAUGGUUGACAUCCAUUAAGGCCAAUGGUAGCUUCCGUUCUGUGACUCCCAAACUUCCCAUUCUCUUAAGAGGCUGCGUUUGUGGCGCUAAAUGGAAGGAUGGGCGUGGGGACAUGUGCUGGGACAUGUGCUCGCUGAAGAUACACCUGUUAGUCCAAGGUUGCUGCUGCUCCUAGUGGCUCAACCCUCUUUGACAAUUAACCUUCCUCUCAGUUUAUUAAGGCUGCCUCAGCUGUGUCUAGGCAAACCUACCCCCCAUCACGCUGGGUUUUUGGAGUUUUUUAAAGCGUCGCGGGGUAAAGCCAGCAUUACACUUUUCGUUUUCUUAGCAGAUAACUAUUUCUGGUGCUAACAGCGGGGAGCUGCCGGGCGGGAGUAGGGGUGAAGAGAGAAUAGGGUGAGAGAUAACAGGUGUGAAGCGUCCCUUAAUGCCAGGCAUCCUGCUUUGGCACUUUUUAUAGGUUUGUCUCAAUUAUCUUUUUAUUUAAUUCAUUUUCUGUUUCACAGAUUAUGAAACUUCAAGUAAAUUGCCCAAGGACAGCCCUUGAAUAAUUUUAACUUCUGUCAAACGGCAAAGCCUAAGGUCUUUUAUCUUGCAGAGGCUGCUUUGUCAGGAUUUCAAUGCAUGCAGGUCCUGCGAAUCGCUGUUCCUCACUCACUGAUCCAUCUCGCUGUCCACGCAUUCAUUCACCCAUUCAUUUCUUAGGAGCUCAUCUGCAAGGUGUGGGGCUAGUUGCUACUAAAAAUAAAAAAGAAAAGGGACUCUGCUAUAAAGUAGAAGAGAUUUUUUUUUGAAAGAUUUACACAGAAUUCCGGUGCUCAGCAUGGUUUCGAUCUUUCCCCCCAACAUACUACUGAUACUUAUUAUGUUCCACAUAAUAUGAUGGAUUCUGAAGAUACAGAGAUGGGUGAGAUGUAUCCUUGCCUAUCAGGAGCUCCUUGCCAUAGGCAAGAGUAAUCUAUGAGCUUUAAUUUUACAUACCUAAUUUUUAACGAUUUGAGCAUCAACUAUAUAUAUAUAUAUAGUUUUGAAAUUAACAUAUUAAAUAAAUAUCAGGCACAUUUAAUUUCUUAUUUUUUAGAUGAAGGUGAAUCUAACUGGUGGUUCAAGUAUGUUCUUUGUUCACCCUAGUGGACCAUCUUGGGUGCUUCCUGGAGUGCUUCCUCAGACUGCAACCCUACCCCCCUGGUAUGUGCUUGGCUCUCUUCAUUCUGCAGCACUCUGUCAAAUGCCAGGCUUUUAGGGAGGCCUGUUCUGACCCCUUCCUGUUUCCUCUCCCUUUUAUCUUCUCCUAUCUGGAGGCUCUUUUCCUAUUUAUUUGUUGUUCUUUCUCCCUCCAUCAUCUUCUCUUCCUGAAUCCUGUGUUGUUUUUUCAUAUACUACAUCUCAGUAUGUAGGAAAUAUGUUUACUGGGUUUUUUUUUUCAAAUUUUUUUUCAGUUUCUCUCUCCCUGCUCCAGAAUGUAAGCUUCAAGAGGGGCAGUGAAGAGUUCUUAACACCCCUCACUGACUGAGAAACAGUUGGGGAUCGAGGGAGACAGCUUUGCCUGGUACAUCCUGAAAUCCCCUGAGGUGGGGGAGGAAGUUGAGGGAUCAGGAAACGUCCAUUCAUUUUAUGAACUUGAAGUUGGGUUAAACACUAUUGUCUUCUGUGACAUUUGUUGUUAAUCUCAACCUGAAACCCUCAUCGCUAGUCAUCCACUUCUUACUAGCUUUGUGACCUUGAAUGAAGGUUCAAGUUUCCCUUCUUUCUUUGCACCUCAGUUUCCUUAUGUAUUAAGAGAAAAAAAUUAAAUUUGUUAAGCCUAAAAUGUGGGGUCAUAGGGCAUCAAUCCCCUGAGGGUAAAAGAAAAAUAUUUGUGGAUAUAUAAGACUUCAGAAGUUAUAUUCUUGUGAGGAUCAAAGAAAGGUAUUUGUGAAUUUGAGAGUCUUCAGCUAUCAUAUAAGUAGCAUAAUUACACACAGAAAAUAUUGGAGAAAGAAUUUUAACAAAUCAAAUGGGAACAGAGAUCUCAAAUAGGAGCAGAUAAAAAGGAGAAGAAACAGUGGUGAGCCAAAAAAAAUCUGACAAAUUUUAUGUAGACAGUUAACUCUGAAUGGACAAUGAUAGACUCUACAGGAAUGUGUAUAAAAGUUUUAAAGAAGAAUUCUUUAAAUAGAAGCGACACACCACAAGGAAAAUUCUAUGACACCUGGAAAUAAAACAUCCAGGGAUUGGGCUCAGGGGGAUGAGGGGUAAAGAAAUAAAAGCAUUUUGUAUCACUUAGCACACUCAUCUGGAUGGGAGGAGGGAGCAAAACAGGGAAAUGAAUCUAUUGGAAGAUGUCAUCUCAUUGAGGUAUGGGAGAAAAAGUGGAAUAGCUGGCACUUUAUUUUAUAUAAUAGUAAAGAAAUUUGUGCUCAAUUAUGAGCAAUAGAAGCAUAUACUAGUGGUUGAAUAAAAAGUUAAUAAGGGAAUAUGAUGGAUAAGUCAGUUAAUAAGAGAACUUGGUGGAUAAGUGAAUUAAUAAGAGUCCACAGUGGAGGCAAUUUCCCUGUUUAUAAAAUGUUAUCUUUUGAAUAUACACAGGAUAUACUUUUCGAAAUAAAAAAAUAUAUAUAGGGGAAACAAUUUUCACUCAUCCUCUAGACACCCAGUACUUUUCCAGAGAUAAUCCGUUGCUAUACAAGCAUAAUUCCUUUUCAAUAUAUUUUUCUAGCAACUAAGAAAUUCAGGAUUUGUAAUUCUAAUAAAAAGAGUGCUGAUCUGGGCUGAAAUGAAAAGUUUUACCUUAGAUAUAUGUCUCAUAAAUAGUUUUUAUAAAGUCAGGGAAUAUCCUUAAAAAGCAAUUACCAAGGCUGUACAACACAUGAGUUUGAAGGCACAGGGAGAUUAAGAUUUAGAAUAAAUUUAAGUGAGAUCUAGGGCCAAAGAAUAGCAGGGUGGUGUUUGUGUGUGUGUGUGUGUGUGUGUGUUGGUUGGGGCAGGUGGGAGGCUUUGGAGUUUGCCUGUAGACUGCUAUCAUCUCUAGGCCUUGGUAAGUCCUUGCAAAGACACACAGUUCUGAAAGGUUGGCACCGGUGUAGGUUUUUAAAUAUUUUUGUUAUCCACAGGGUGACCCUGGACACCGUUACAAAAAUUUAAAAAUUUCACCCCUAGGCACACAGAUUACCCUUCUCGUGGUGGCAUGGCAAGGCUUGAUUUGCAAGAGUUUCUUUUGGACUGUCGUUAAUUUUUCCCUUUAAAAACAGGAGCUCCUUCAUGGUGACAAAGGAAGGAGGAAAUCAUCCCUUCUAACCUACUUUGUCGUCUUCAUUCCAAGAACUCUAGAAUGGCACAGCACGUUUGGUUUUGAAACCUGUGGAAUUUUAGUGCUGUCCAUUCUCCCAAGUGUAUGCCUUUAGUGAAGGUAAAAGGAAAGACUGUUUUCUGUGUCAAGGGAAGAUUCAUAUGCAAAUCCCAAGACUCAGAUGUUAUUUCAGAAGAGUUGGUGUCCAUAGUAAAGUAGAACUGGCCCAGGCUUAUCUGCCUGAAAGGGCAACUGUUUGAGGUAGAGGGAACUGGCAGAAUAGGAGGGGUGGAAUCUUCCUGGGAGAAAGUAAAAAGAAUUCUAGGUGGAGAGGAGAUCAAGAUGUGAACCAAACACAUGUCUUCUAAAUUACUAUAGGAAAUGUUGGAAAGGACUUUAGAACAAACAAUAAAUAUGUCAUAGGAGGAAAACAAAGAGAAGUCUUUGGGCCAGAAAUAGAAACUGUUAAAAACAAAACAACAACAACAAAACAUAAAAAUAAAAAAAAAAACCUUUAAGUUUGAAAAUGACAGAAGUUAAGAAGUGGAAAGUUGCAUGGGAUAUGCUUUCAUUGCGGCCUCUCUGAUAAACCAUUCCCCAGUCCAUCUUUGUAUCCUUGCUUGUCCUAAGCAGCAUGGUAGCAGCCGUGGCAUUCAUCAGGCUAAAGUGGUCAUUUUUGGCACUUGGGCUAGAGAUGGCAGUGAAGCAGAAUCAUUUGGGUAAAUGCCAGAGGCUUUUUGUCUCACAAUAAGGAAAUUGAAGAUGUAGACACAGAAGGAGUGGAUUUAAGAGUGGAAGGUUAAUAGGCAAAAGAAAGAAGAGAGAGUUCCCUGUGCAUUGGAAGGGUGCCUGAGCGGGUUUCUGGGUUUGGGGCAAGUUGCGGCUGGUUUUAUAGAUGAGCUUGAGGAGCCAGUGUCUGAUUUACACAGGGCUCAGAGGGUUGGUUGGACCAGGUGUGAAUGCACGAAGAGGCUGGCCAUCCCAUCCUAAUCUUUUAUUAUGCAGAUGGGGUCUCUAUCUGGCCAGCGCCAUGUUGCCUGAACACUUGAAGACAAAGAAAAGGGAAGAAGAGGCAGGGCGCCGUAGCUCACGCCUGUAAUCACCGCACUUUCUGAGGGCGAGGAGGGUGGAUCACGAGGUCAGGAGUUCAAGACCAGCUUGGCCAAGAUGGUGAAACCUCGUCUCCACUAAAAAAAAUACAAAAAAAAAAAAAUUUAGCCGGGCCUGUUGGUGGGCUCCUGAAAUCCCAGCCACUCAGGAGGCUGAGGUAGAGAGCUGCUUGAACCCGGGAGGCAGAGGGUGCAGUGAGCCGACAUCGCCCCACUCCACUCCAGCAUGGGCAACAGAGCGAGACUCCGUCAAAAAAAAAAAAAAAAAAAAAAAGAAGAGGACACCUCCAUGUUGAACAUGCGAGUAUGCCUGGCUUCCAAGUAUCCCUUUUCUAUUGGCAUAGGUGCCGGCAUUCCCCUUUGCAAGUUUUAGCUUGCUUAUCUAUGCUUGCAGCUGAUUUUUCAGGCUGAUUGUUGUUAGAAAACAAAAUUAGAUGGGGGCUGCUUUUUUAUUAAAAGGAAAACCUUACCAACGACUCCCUUACCCACACUAACUGCCUAAAUAAUUGAUUUUUUUAGCUCCUGUAUCAGCAGUGCUUGCCCCUGAUAGAUGAUGAUCAUGGGGGGACCAGGAGCCUCUAGACUUAGAGAACUUUCCCCACCCUCCCUGUGGAGUGUUUCCCUCCCCAGCACCCCCUGCUGGUCAGUUUGACAAACAGAUGAACAGAAGUUCUCAAAUACACAGUAAGCAGAUAACCCCAACAUCACCAGAAAUAUCAACUUGUGAUGGCAUUUUGUCAAGUUGUCUUUGUUAUCGGCAUCAUCUGUUGCUUUCUGAGGGAAGUAUUUUGAGUUCUCCUACUGAGACUGUGGAUUUGCCUAUUUCUUUUUGUAUGUCAGCUUUUGCCAUAUGUAUUUUGUAGUUGUGUUGUGAGGAAGAUUCAUGACUUAUCUUGUGGGAGAAUUCUGUAUUUAGCAGAUUUUCGUCUUAAGUUCUGUUUUGCUUAGUAUUGAUGUUAUUACUUUGCUUUUUCAGUUUCAAAAUCAUUUAGUAUAUCUUUUUCCUUUCUUUUAGCCUUUGUGUUUUUAUUUCAGAUGUGCUUUCUUAUGUACUGACUGUGAUCCCCAAAUUCAUAUGUUGAAGUCCCAACUCCAAAUGUAUUUGGAGGUGGGCCUUUCAGACGUAAUUGAGUUUAGAUGACGUCAUGAGGGUGGAGCCCCCAUGAUGACACUAAGUCCUUCUAAGAAAAGGAAGAGAGUCUGAGCCCUCCUCUACACCAUGUGAGGGCACAGAGAGAGAGCAGCCAUCAACAAGCUGAGAGAGGAGGACUGAGAAUGAAACCUACCUCGCCAGAACCUUGUCAUAUCCCUUCCCGGUUUCCAAACGAGUGAGAAAUCAAUUUCUGUUGUGUAAGCUACUCAGUGUAUGAAACUUUGUUAUGGCAGCCAGAGCAGAUUAAUGCAUGCUUCUUGGACUUUGUUUUUAACUCAAUAUGAAAAACAUAUGUUUUAAUAAAAAAAUUACCCCAUUCAUCUGUAUUGUGUUUACUGAUAAUUUUGGACUUAUUUUUGCCAUAUUUAAGAAAUCCUCCUUCCUCUUUCCCAUGCUUUCUUGUGUUUUUUUA
This 12083-nucleotide long non-coding RNA is filed under the name Homo sapiens (human). RNAcentral's name for it is "HSALNT0362830". Lineage: Eukaryota; Metazoa; Chordata; Mammalia; Primates; Hominidae. The record is from RNAcentral.